UACGAGCUGUGCAAACGUUAUUCGGAAUCACUGGGCUUAAAGGGUGCGUAGGCGGCUUGUUAAGUAGGGUGUGAAAUCCCCCGGCUCAACCGGGGAAUUGCGCCCUAAACUGGCGAGCUGGAGUGAGAUAGGGGUGUGUGGAACUUCCAGUGGAGCGGUGAAAUGUGUUGAUAUUGGAAGGAACGCCAGUGGCGAAAGCGACACACUGGGUCUCAACUGACGCUGAGGCACGAAAGCCAGGGGAGCAAACGGG
This 253-nucleotide ribosomal RNA is filed under the name uncultured bacterium. Its description in RNAcentral is "partial 16S ribosomal RNA". It matches the Rfam family "Bacterial small subunit ribosomal RNA", at positions 524 to 776 of the family's 1533-position model. The record is from RNAcentral.